RNAcentral lists this ribosomal RNA (445 nucleotides) under uncultured soil bacterium. RNAcentral describes it as "bacterial SSU rRNA". It matches the Rfam family "Bacterial small subunit ribosomal RNA", at positions 26 to 518 of the family's 1533-position model. The record is from RNAcentral.
AGAACGAACGCUGGCGGCAUGCCUAACACAUGCAAGUCGAACGAGACCUUCGGGUCUAGUGGCGCACGGGUGCGUAACGCGUGGGAAUCUGCCCUUGGGUUCGGAAUAACAGUUGGAAACGACUGCUAAUACCGGAUGAUGACGUAAGUCCAAAGAUUUAUCGCCCAGGGAUGAGCCCGCGUAGGAUUAGCUAGUUGGUGAGGUAAAGGCUCACCAAGGCGACGAUCCUUAGCUGGUCUGAGAGGAUGAUCAGCCACACUGGGACUGAGACACGGCCCAGACUCCUACGGGAGGCAGCAGUGGGGAAUAUUGGACAAUGGGCGAAAGCCUGAUCCAGCAAUGCCGCGUGAGUGAUGAAGGCCUUCGGGUUGUAAAGCUCUUUUACCCGGGAUGAUAAUGACAGUACCGGAGAAUAAGCUCCGGCUAACUCCGCGCCAGCAGCCGC